Molecule: ribosomal RNA, 325 nt
Filed under: uncultured eukaryote
Lineage: Eukaryota
Description: partial 18S ribosomal RNA
Rfam family: Eukaryotic small subunit ribosomal RNA
Source: RNAcentral
CCCUUAGAUGUUCUGGGCCGCACGCGCGCUACACUGAUGCAUUCAACGAGCCUAUCCUUGACCGACAGGUCCGGGUAAUCUUUGAAUCUGCAUCGUGACGGGGAUAGAUUAUUGCAAUUAUUAAUCUUCAACGAGGAAUGCCUAGUAGGCGCAAGUCAUCAGCUUGCGUCGAUUACGUCCCUGCCCUUUGUACACACCGCCCGUCGCUCCUACCGAUUGGGUGUGCUGGUGAAAUGUUCGGAUCGGCCGUUUGUCGCGGUUUCCGCGUCAUGUGGCUGAGAAGUUCAUUAACCCCUCCCACCUAGAGGAAGGAGAAGUCGUAACA